This 74-nucleotide transfer RNA is filed under the name Geodermatophilus obscurus. RNAcentral describes it as "tRNA_Gly_TCC". It matches the Rfam family "tRNA". From Rfam's summary of the family: Transfer RNA (tRNA) molecules are approximately 80 nucleotides in length. Lineage: Bacteria; Bacillati; Actinomycetota; Actinomycetes; Geodermatophilales; Geodermatophilaceae. The record is from RNAcentral.
GCGGGUGUAGCUCAAUGGCAGAGCCCCAGCCUUCCAAGCUGGCCAUGCCGGUUCGAUCCCGGUCACCCGCUCAA